CUCAUAACACAUUUUAACAAACGUUUUUGGAUUGAUACAUCAAUUAAUUUAUUUCUUUGACCGACUUGGAGUACAUGAUUACUACAAUUUCUUACUUAACAAUCAUUCAAGCAAAACUACAACCAGAAAUCUAGAAUUAUAGCUUCUUAAUUAAAGCUUCUUUAUCUGUGCUAUCACCAAGUUUUCUGUCCAUUCAGGACAGUUACGCAACCCCAGCUUUCUGUCAAAUUACAGAAAGCAAAUGGAAUCUCAAGAGUUGCAAGGCCUUAAUUGUAUAUAAAUGUGUCGAUAUAUGCAUGGGUAUAUAUUAUAUAGUUUCUAUACUAUGAUACGAUCUCUAUAUUCUUUCUAAAGGUUAUAAUGAUGCCUGGUUUCCAUUUCGUCGUCACGGUCGCAAGUAAAUUCGGGCAAAAUGCUGGGGAAAAUGAAGAAGAUAUUCGGGUAGGUUUACCACAAAAUGUGUUAAACUCAGGUGAUUUAUUACAGUUCUUAAUAAGAAUUCGGGCAAACUCUGGAGUGAGCCCCUGUAAAGGAUUGAUACCGUUAGCUAUAUCUCAAUUAUUUCUGGAAUAUUAGUAAAUACUGAUACGCAUCACAACAGCAAAAUAAAUGCAGAUUUCUUCCCCAUAUUUUUCAUAACUACGACAAAAUGGAAGCCAUGCAGGCUUAAUUAAAUUACCAAACUAUGAUUCUACGAAAUUGUUGAGGAUUAUACACAUCAAUCUAUGAAAAUCUAACGUUCCAUUUCUCAGAACUAAAACUUGGACACUAAUCUAUUUUGACCAUCCAUAGUUGUUUCUGGAUAAUUCUCCUCUUCUUCUUCAACCUUGCUUGGCUUGAAGUUGUCGUACAUUUGAUCAUCAAAUGACGCCAGAAACGCUGAUAUGACGUCAUAACAGAAAAUAUACUGUGCCUAUACAAAUAAUCAUAUCAAUGUCAAAGUCAUCUAAUCGUUAUACAUGCAGAAGGAUACUUUGUUACAACUGCAGUGCGAUUAAGU
Paramuricea clavata is the source of this 1000-nucleotide non-coding RNA. The record is from the annotation of a GenBank genome assembly. NCBI's taxonomy places the organism in Eukaryota, Metazoa, Cnidaria, Anthozoa, Malacalcyonacea, Plexauridae.